CCGGAGAAUGUUAUCACGGGAGACACACGGCGGGUGCUAACGUCCGUCGUGAAGAGGGAAACAACCCAGACCGCCAGCUAAGGUCCCAAAGUCAUGGUUAAGUGGGAAACGAUGUGGGAAGGCCCAGACAGCCAGGAUGUUGGCUUAGAAGCAGCCAUCAUUUAAAGAAAGCGUAAUAGCUCACUGGUCGAGUCGGCCUGCGCGGAAGAUGUAACGGGGCUAAACCAUGCACCGAAGCUGCGGCAGCGACACUGUGUGUUGUUGGGUAGGGGAGCGUUCUGUAAGCCUGYGAAGGUGKSYYGUGAGGSWUGCUGGAGGUAUCAGAAGUGCGAAUGCUGACAUAAGUAACGAUAAAGCGGGUGAAAAGCCCGCUCGCCGGAAGACCAAGGGUUCCUGUCCAACGUUAAUCGGGGCAGGGUGAGUCGACCCCUAAGGCGAGGCCGAAAGGCGUAGUCGAUGGGAAACGGGUUAAUAUUCCCGUACUUGGUGUUACUGCGAAGGGGGGACGG
RNAcentral lists this ribosomal RNA (509 nucleotides) under Salmonella enterica. RNAcentral describes it as "partial 23S ribosomal RNA". Lineage: Bacteria; Pseudomonadati; Pseudomonadota; Gammaproteobacteria; Enterobacterales; Enterobacteriaceae. The record is from RNAcentral.